Molecule: ribosomal RNA, 504 nt
Filed under: uncultured bacterium
Lineage: Bacteria
Description: bacterial SSU rRNA
Rfam family: Bacterial small subunit ribosomal RNA
Source: RNAcentral
GAGUUUGAUCCUGGCUCAGGACGAACGCUGGCGGCGCGCCUAACACAUGCAAGUCGAACGAGCGAGAGAGAGCUUGCUUUCUCGAGCGAGUGGCGAACGGGUGAGUAACGCGUGAGGAACCUGCCUCAAAGAGGGGGACAACAGUUGGAAACGACUGCUAAUACCGCAUAAGCCCACAGCUCGGCAUCGAGCAGAGGGAAAAGGAGCAAUCCGCUUUGAGAUGGCCUCGCGUCCGAUUAGCUAGUUGGUGAGGUAAUGGCCCACCAAGGCGACGAUCGGUAGCCGGACUGAGAGGUUGAACGGCCACAUUGGGACUGAGACACGGCCCAGACUCCUACGGGAGGCAGCAGUGGGGAAUAUUGCACAAUGGGGGAAACCCUGAUGCAGCGACGCCGCGUGGAGGAAGAAGGUCUUCGGAUUGUAAACUCCUGUUGUUGAGGAAGAUAAUGACGGUACUCAACAAGGAAGUGACGGCUAACUACGUGCCAGCCGCCGCGGUAAUUC